CCUACGGGAGGCAGCAGUAGGGAAUUUUGCGCAAUGGGGGAAACCCUGACGCAGCAACGCCGCGUGAUCGAUGAAGCCCCUCGGGGUGUAAAGAUCUGUCAGUGGGGACGAAACCUGACGCUACUCACAGAGGAAGCACCGGCUAACUCCGUGCCAGCAGCCGCGGUAAUACGGAGGGUUCGGGGGGUAAUCGGAAUUACUGGGCGUAAAGCGCUCGUAGGCGGGAUGUCAAGUCAAGGGGGAAAUCCCCGCGCUCAAAGUGGGAACUGCCGUUGAAACUGGCAAACUGGAGGGUGUGAGAGGUUAGCGGAAUGCGAGGUGUAGGAGUGAAAUCCGUAGAUAUCUGGAGGAACAUCAGUGGCGAAGGCGACUAUCUGGCACAUAACUGACGCUGAGGAGCGAAAGCGUGGGUAGCAAACAGGAUUAGAUACCCGUGUAGUC
This 441-nucleotide ribosomal RNA is filed under the name uncultured bacterium. Its description in RNAcentral is "partial 16S ribosomal RNA". It matches the Rfam family "Bacterial small subunit ribosomal RNA", at positions 338 to 795 of the family's 1533-position model. The record is from RNAcentral.